AUAUAUAGCCAUACCACCCAGAAUAUGCCUAUCUCCUCUGAUUUUGAAAGUUAAGCAAGGUUGGGCCUAGUUAGUAAGGAAGAUGGGAAAGUGGUGUUCUGUUGA
Ribosomal RNA from Dipodomys ordii (Ord's kangaroo rat), 105 nucleotides. The record is from Ensembl. NCBI's taxonomy places the organism in Eukaryota, Metazoa, Chordata, Mammalia, Rodentia, Heteromyidae.